UUUGAAGAGAGAGUUCAAGAGGGCGUGAAACCGUUGAGAUUGAAACGGAUAGAGUUGACGGAACUCGGCUGCAUUCAUUCGGUCGGCCUAGCGGUCCGGCGGCAUCGUCUCCUCGAUGAGGGCGGUGUCGACGGUAGCUGUUGGGUGCUUGACCGGUGUAUUUGUGGCCGGUAUGCGCUGAGAGCUUCGUGAUCACGUGUUGACAUGUGCGUAGUGGACCCGCCCUUUCGGGCGUGGAAACCUGCGCAUGUUGAGGCAUGUUGGCCAUGGGGUUUGAACGUGGCGCGCCUCACUGUGGAGCGCGUCGGCUUCGUGGCGCUGUUGUGGCUGUGGGAAGUCGCUUGCGACCUUCCGUAGUUGGCGAUAGCGUGGCGGGGUGCGGACGCGUCGAGGUGUGCAUCUCGGUGUGAACGUUGACCACCUAUCCGACCCGUCUUGAAACACGGACCAAGGAGUCCAGCAUAUGCGCGAGUCGUUGGGUGCUAAACCUAAAGGCGUAAUGAAAGUGAACUUUGUCUAGAUGCGAAUGAUAUGGGAUCCGUGAUGCUUACGAGCAGCGCGGCGCACCAUAGCCCCGUCCCCGUUGCUAGCAAUAGGGCGGAGGUAGAGCGCAUACGCUGGGACCCGAAAGAUGGUGAACUAUGCCUGAGCAGGAUGAAGCCAGAGGAAACUCUGGUGGAAGUCCGAAGCGGUUCUGACGUGCAAAUCGAUCGUCUGACUUGGGUAUA
RNAcentral lists this ribosomal RNA (728 nucleotides) under Raphidascaris andersoni. RNAcentral's name for it is "partial large subunit ribosomal RNA". It matches the Rfam family "Eukaryotic large subunit ribosomal RNA", at positions 375 to 919 of the family's 3401-position model. The record is from RNAcentral. Lineage: Eukaryota; Metazoa; Nematoda; Chromadorea; Rhabditida; Raphidascarididae.